CGAUGAAGGGCGUGCUAAUCUGCGAUAAGCGCCGGUAAGGUGAUAUGAACCGUUAUAACCGGCGAUACCCGAAUGGGGAAACCCAGUGUGAUUCGUCACACUAUCAUUAACUGAAUCCAUAGGUUAAUGAGGCGAACCGGGGGAACUGAAACAUCUAAGUACCCCGAGGAAAAGAAAUCAACCGAGAUUCCCCCAGUAGCGGCGAGCGAACGGGGAGGAGCCCAGAGCCUGAAUCAGCAUGUGUGUUAGUGGAAGCGUCUGGAAAGGCGCGCGAUACAGGGUGACAGCCCCGUACACAAAAGCGCAUGUGCUGUGAGCUCGAUGAGUAGGGCGGGACACGUGGUAUCCUGUCUGAAUAUGGGGGGACCAUCCUCCAAGGCUAAAUACUCCUGACUGACCGAUAGUGAACCAGUACCGUGAGGGAAAGGCGAAAAGAACCCCGGCGAGGGGAGUGAAAAAGAACCUGAAACCGUGUACGUACAAGCAGUGGGAGCACCCUUUGGGUGUGACUGCGUACCUUUUGUAUAAUGGGUCAGCGACUUAUAUUCUGUAGCAAGGUUAACCGAAUAGGGGAGCCGGAGGGAAACCGAGUCUUAACCGGGCGUUAAGUUGCAGGGUAUAGACCCGAAACCCGGUGAUCUAGCCAUGGGCAGGUUGAAGGUUGGGUAACACUAACUGGAGGACCGAACCGACUAAUGUUGAAAAAUUAGCGGAUGACCUGUGGCUGGGGGUGAAAGGCCAAUCAAACCGGGAGAUAGCUGGUUCUCCCCGAAAGCUAUUUAGGUAGCGCCUCGUGAAUUCAUCUCCGGGGGUAGAGCACUGUUUCGGCUAGGGGGCCAUCCCGGCUUACCAACCCGAUGCAAACUGCGAAUACCGGAGAAUGUUAUCACGGGAGACACACGGCGGGUGCUAACGUCCGUCGUGAAGAGGGAAACAACCCAGACCGCCAGCUAAGGUCCCAAAGUCAUGGUUAAGUGGGAAACGAUGUGGGAAGGCCCAGACAGCCAGGAUGUUGGCUUAGAAGCAGCCAUCAUUUAAAGAAAGCGUAAUAGCUCACUGGUCGAGUCGGCCUGCGCGGAAGAUGUAACGGGGCUAAACCAUGCACCGAAGCUGCGGCAGCGACACUGUGUGUUGUUGGGUAGGGGAGCGUUCUGUAAGCCUGUGAAGGUGUGUCGUGAGGCAUGCUGGAGGUAUCAGAAGUGCGAAUGCUGACAUAAGUAACGAUAAAGCGGGUGAAAAGCCCGCUCGCCGGAAGACCAAGGGUUCCUGUCCAACGUUAAUCGGGGCAGGGUGAGUCGACCCCUAAGGCGAGGCCGAAAGGCGUAGUCGAUGGGAAACGGGUUAAUAUUCCCGUACUUGGUGUUACUGCGAAGGGGGGACGGAGAAGGCUAUGUUGGCCGGGCGACGGUUGUCCCGGUUUAAGCGUGUAGGUGUGUGUUCCAGGUAAAUCCGGUUCACUUUAACACUGAGGCGUGACGACGAGGCACUACGGUGCUGAAGCAACAAAUGCCCUGCUUCCAGGAAAAGCCUCUAAGCAUCAGGUAACAUCAAAUCGUACCCCAAACCGACACAGGUGGUCAGGUAGAGAAUACCAAGGCGCUUGAGAGAACUCGGGUGAAGGAACUAGGCAAAAUGGUGCCGUAACUUCGGGAGAAGGCACGCUGACACGUAGGUGAAGUGAUUUACUCAUGGAGCUGAAGUCAGUCGAAGAUACCAGCUGGCUGCAACUGUUUAUUAAAAACACAGCACUGUGCAAACACGAAAGUGGACGUAUACGGUGUGACGCCUGCCCGGUGCCGGAAGGUUAAUUGAUGGGGUCAGCGCAAGCGAAGCUCCUGAUCGAAGCCCCGGUAAACGGCGGCCGUAACUAUAACGGUCCUAAGGUAGCGAAAUUCCUUGUCGGGUAAGUUCCGACCUGCACGAAUGGCGUAAUGAUGGCCAGGCUGUCUCCACCCGAGACUCAGUGAAAUUGAACUCGCUGUGAAGAUGCAGUGUACCCGCGGCAAGACGGAAAGACCCCGUGAACCUUUACUAUAGCUUGACACUGAACAUUGAGCCUUGAUGUGUAGGAUAGGUGGGAGGCUUUGAAGUGUGGACGCCAGUCUGCAUGGAGCCGACCUUGAAAUACCACCCUUUAAUGUUUGAUGUUCUAACGUGGACCCGUUACCCGGGUUGCGGACAGUGUCUGGUGGGUAGUUUGACUGGGGCGGUCUCCUCCUAAAGAGUAACGGAGGAGCACGAAGGUUGGCUAAUCCUGGUCGGACAUCAGGAGGUUAGUGCAAUGGCAUAAGCCAGCUUGACUGCGAGCGUGACGGCGCGAGCAGGUGCGAAAGCAGGUCAUAGUGAUCCGGUGGUUCUGAAUGGAAGGGCCAUCGCUCAACGGAUAAAAGGUACUCCGGGGAUAACAGGCUGAUACCGCCCAAGAGUUCAUAUCGACGGCGGUGUUUGGCACCUCGAUGUCGGCUCAUCACAUCCUGGGGCUGAAGUAGGUCCCAAGGGUAUGGCUGUUCGCCAUUUAAAGUGGUACGCGAGCUGGGUUUAGAACGUCGUGAGACAGUUCGGUCCCUAUCUGCCGUGGGCGCUGGAGAACUGAGGGGGGCUGCUCCUAGUACGAGAGGACCGGAGUGGACGCAUCACUGGUGUUCGGGUUGUCAUGCCAAUGGCACUGCCCGGUAGCUAAAUGCGGAAGAGAUAAGUGCUGAAAGCAUCUAAGCACGAAACUUGCCCCGA
Molecule: ribosomal RNA, 2730 nt
Filed under: Salmonella enterica subsp. enterica serovar Enteritidis
Lineage: Bacteria; Pseudomonadati; Pseudomonadota; Gammaproteobacteria; Enterobacterales; Enterobacteriaceae
Description: partial 23S ribosomal RNA
Rfam family: Bacterial large subunit ribosomal RNA
Source: RNAcentral